This 253-nucleotide ribosomal RNA is filed under the name uncultured bacterium. RNAcentral's name for it is "partial 16S ribosomal RNA". It matches the Rfam family "Bacterial small subunit ribosomal RNA", at positions 524 to 776 of the family's 1533-position model. The record is from RNAcentral.
UACAGAGGGGGCAAGCGUUAUUCGGAAUUAUUGGGCGUAAAGGGCGCGUAGGCGGCUUGGCAAGUGGAUGGUGAAAUCCCUCGGCUUAACCGAGGAACGGCCGUCCAAACUGCUUCGCUUGAGACCGGGAGAGGUGAGUGGAAUUCCCAGUGUAGCGGUGAAAUGCGUAGAUAUUAGGAAGAACACCAGUGGCGAAGGCGGCUCACUGGUCCGGUACUGACGCUGUGGUGCGAAAGCGUGGGGAGCAAACAGG